This is a long non-coding RNA of Sinocyclocheilus grahami, 443 nucleotides long. RefSeq lists it as uncharacterized. The record is from RefSeq and is a predicted model, not a curated record. The transcript has 3 exons. Lineage: Eukaryota; Metazoa; Chordata; Actinopteri; Cypriniformes; Cyprinidae.
GAUUGUGAGUAAUUCAAACAUCUCUUUACCUCAACGGACUCUCUCAUACCUGCUCUUAUUGUUCACACUUCCAGUCUGGAGUGCCACAACCUUAUGGGACAGGUACCAUAAAUGGAUCACUAAUGCUAUGACUGUGGCAUACUGGCUCUGGCAUGGUAUUAAGCUAUUCAUGAUCUUCAUACUCAAAAUUGUACUGUCCUCAAUGAGGAAAGCCCUUGGAGACAUAAUGCUGAGUUUGAUCAGUUUCAUACCUGAGCAAGUUCACGAUGAGCAGCAUAGACGCAGAGAGUUGGCUGAGAGACACAUGGCCUCCUCUAAUCUGAAUGGUCACGUCUCUGCUGUUUUCCCGCCGAGUCCCUCCAUGGCACAGACCCUCCCAAACCUCUACACACUCCUGAUAUCACUAGAGACAGCAGAAAGUACGUGGAGAAGACGCAAGAUAG